UGAAGAAAUGUAUUUUCAAUCAAAAAAAGAAAAAAGAAAAUGCCAGACAUUUGUAGGCCAGUCUUAUGGAGGUAAUUUCUCAGCUGAGGUCCCCUUAAUAUGAGUGACCCUAGCCAAUAUUAAGUUAACAACAACAAAAGUAACAAGGACUAUCCCCAACCCUUUUGUGUUUUCUGUUUUAAGAUGAGGACCAGCUAAGUUGCCAGGCCACCCUCACAUUAUGCCACCUGACUGUGGCUCGAUUUCUAGUUCUGAAGUCAGUUUACCUGUCUGGGAAUAUCUACAGCUCAAGAACUACGCUGACAUUGGCAGAAACAGCCUGGAGACAUUUGCAGAGGGGCUGUUGAGUGCAAGGAAAAUGAAUCUAGCAACGCAUGGGUAUAAGUCCUGACAUCUGUAAUUGCCAUGGGGCUCUGGCCAUCUAUGGUCUUUACUUUUGGGGGGACACAAAGGCCCAGCUGCCAUAGCAUUUAGGGA
This 477-nucleotide long non-coding RNA is filed under the name Cricetulus griseus (Chinese hamster). RNAcentral describes it as "lncRNA (ENSCGRG00015037969.1)". Lineage: Eukaryota; Metazoa; Chordata; Mammalia; Rodentia; Cricetidae. The record is from RNAcentral.